AGAGUUUGAUCCUGGCUCAGAACUAACGCUGGCGGCGUGCCUAACACAUGCAAGUCGAACGAGAAGCCCGCAAGGGUUGUAAAGUGGCGGACGGGUGCGUAACACGUGGGUAAUCUACCCUUUGGUCUGGGAUAACUUGUCGAAAGACGGGCUAAUACCGGAUAAGACCACGGCUCUGCGGAGCUGUGAGAAAAGACUCGCAAGGGUCACCGAUGGAUGAGCCCGCGGCCUAUCACGGUAGUUGGUGAGGUAAUGGCUCACCAAGCCUACGACGGGUAGCUGGUCUGAGAGGACGACCAGUCACACUGGAACUGAGACACGGUCCAGACUCCUACGGGAGGCAGCAGUGGGGAAUAUUGCGCAAUGGGCGAAAGCCUGACGCAGCAACGCCGCGUGGGUGAUGAAGGCCUUCGGGUUGUAAAGCCCUGUCGCCUGGGACGAACAAGCUCGUGAAGAACGAGCUCUGACGGUACCAGGAGAGGAAGCACCGGCUAACUCUGUGCCAGCAGCCGCGGUAAUACAGAGGGUGCUAGCGUUGUUCGGAAUUAUUGGGCGUAAAGGGCGCGUAGGCGGCCUCGCAUGUCGAAUGUGAAAGCCCACCUCUUAGAGGUGGAAUUGCAUUCGAAACUGCAAGGCUGGAGUGCCGGAGAGGGUGGUGGAAUUCCUGGUGUAGAGGUGAAAUUCGUAGAUAUCAGGAGGAACACCGGUGGCGAAGGCGGCCACCUGGACGGUAACUGACGCUGAGGCGCGAAAGCGUGGGGAGCAAACAGGAUUAGAUACCCUGGUAGUCCACGCUGUAAACGAUGGGUGCUAGGUGUUGUGGGUAUUGACCCCCGCAGUGCCGUCGCUAACGCAUUAAGCACCCCGCCU
Molecule: ribosomal RNA, 870 nt
Filed under: uncultured bacterium
Lineage: Bacteria
Description: bacterial SSU rRNA
Rfam family: Bacterial small subunit ribosomal RNA
Source: RNAcentral